GAAAACGAUGUCUGUAUUCUGAUGAUUUGAUAUGUACAACUGCAGCACAGGCUUUGCUCAGUAUGAGAUGUUACAAGGAACAAGAUAUUAUGGACGCCAUUAAAUUGUUUGUAGCAGAAAAAGAUACACUAGAAUUCACUGCAACAGAUAUUUUACCAGUUUUACUUAACAGCUCGUGUAGAUGAAACUAUGUUCUGAACGAAGAAAAGGUAUAGGAGUAAUUCCAACUCAAAUGACUCGGAAGUUUCUUAGUAUAUUAGUCAAUACUCAGAAACGAAGACAGUGACAGUACUACCAGUAAUGACAGAAAAUCGAAAA
Molecule: long non-coding RNA, 318 nt
Organism: Mytilus trossulus (common blue mussel)
Lineage: Eukaryota; Metazoa; Mollusca; Bivalvia; Mytilida; Mytilidae
Exons: 3
Source: RefSeq, a predicted model, not a curated record